Molecule: long non-coding RNA, 3265 nt
Filed under: Homo sapiens (human)
Lineage: Eukaryota; Metazoa; Chordata; Mammalia; Primates; Hominidae
Description: HSALNT0042344
Source: RNAcentral
AGCAUCAUCCAUUUACCUCUGAAGUCAAAAGUGCCCUAUCUUCCAUCCAAUUCAACACCAACUCUGGAAUCAGCAAAAUCCACAGACUUAAUUAAGCAAUGCCACAUUUGGAUCAUGAACAUGGAUAUAGGAUAGAGAAAAACUGACAACGGAGAGGUAUUCAGAACAGCUGCUUCUUUUUGGUUGCUGGUGGCAGGGAUAUUAUGGAGGAGGGUUAAAUGUGGCAUUUGAAGGUUGGUGAGUAACAACAUCUUUUAAAACAUGGUGAAUUCCAACAAGAAAAGACCAAGGCAACAGACGCAUGAGAGUGAGGUAUUUAUCUGAGGGCGAUUGAAGUCACCAGCUUAACAGGGCCAUAAGAUUUUGGGCCAAAUGUACCAAGUGGAAAGACCUUAAGCCAGAGAACUCCAGGUUCAAGAACCACCACCUGCAAACUUGGCAAAUUUGGACAAAUGUCUCUCUGAGUUUCAUUGUCUUCAUCCACAAAUAAAGCAAGAUUACUUCGCCUACAGAAUUGCGGAAUUAUGACCAGACCAUGAGGGUAUGAAGGAUGAGGAAAAGGGAGCAGUCAUGGAGCUGUUUUGGAGGGAGUCAUAAUUCCUUAGACCUCUGACAACUGGAACUCUCAAUCUGCCAGUGAAAGCUGACAUGAGCCCAAUAAGGAUGGUCUUUUCUAUUCAAAGAUAGGGACACCCUCUUUUUAAAGGACAUUCAAUUCAAAUGUAUCUUCUCUGGUUAAAGUAUGGUGAAGUCUGUCCUGUGGGCACUCCCCAUUGACUCCUAGCAGCUCUUGAGCCCCAUCUUCAGGAUCCGUACUUUGAUAGUCACUGACAAUUAGCUUUGAAAAUCUAUAGUUCCAAUCCUGUGAAAUGAGAAGAAUGUUGAAGCUAUAAAGGAGGUCUUUGCCUGCAUUCAGAUUCUGACACCAAAGACUCCUCUGAUUAUACUGAAGUAUGUAAGAAAACCUUCUCUUGAAAUCAAGGACCAUUUCUCUUCAUCUUAUCUUGAGCUACAUACCAAAUAUGAGUACACAUAGUUAGGAUUCAAUAAAUAAUUUAAGAUACUUGUGAACACCUUGCUCUGACUGGUUCUAUUUUUACAUUCAGAGAGGAAAGCAUCCUGUAUUCUCCCUAUAAACAAAUCUAGGAGAAUAGGGUCAUGGACAUCCUAUGUACACAGAAUUACAGUCCGAUGUUGGGUAUCUUACUCCUGUGAAGUGAAGGGAAAUAGAAAAGUAAACAAAGAAGACCACAGUAUAAGAUGUCACCUUAAAAUAUAAACCUGAAGACAAGAAAAACCAGGCUCAAGGAACAAAUGAGCAGGAAAGUUGAAAUUCUAGAAUACAUUUGUUUUAUACCAAUAUUAUUUGCAUCUUGUUUAAAUGAAAAGUUGUUUACAUACACAAUGGAUGACUACAAAGAAACAGCAUGGAAACUGGAAUCAGAGGCCUGUGUCUGAAUUUCAUGUCUACCACUGAACAACUGCAUGACACUGGGAAAUUUACUUAGUUUCUAUAGACCUCAUUUUUCUUAUCUGUAAAAUGGCUUCCACAAUCUGAAACUCAAAGGUCUCUUGACAAGAUUGAAUGUGAUAAUGCAUGUAAGGGAUCAGGACGAAACCCAGCACAAAAAAAGACUGCAAGCCACACUGUUUACAAACACCGUUUCCAAGUAAAAAAAAAACCUGCUCAUUGAAACUGAAGGCACCAGUGUCUGUUGGGUUCAGCACGUAGUGAGACGCUCAACUACCUGCCUCAGGUAAGCUUAGUGUGCUUACGUACUUCACUAACGAUAGCUAGUUUAGAGGUUCUUUCCUCGUAAUUCAGGUGAUAUAAUUGCUCUAUGGUUAUGCCCUACCCACCUUGUCUUAAACAGUGCAAAAUAUGUGAUAUCAUUACACAUUUCUUAUCAGGAAAAUAUUUCAAAGGGCAGGCACUCUCUGUGUUUCCUUAGUAACAGCAGCUAUGUGGAGCAUCUUCUGUAUUAUGUUUAACAUGGUGCAAAUAUGAACAAGUAAUCACAACUCCUGUGCACCAGCAACUAGAGAAAUGUAGCUACAAUAAAAUAGGUGGCAUUCAUAUUUGUUUGUUGGCCAUACCUGGGACUUUUUAAGAACCUGUUUUUGGUUAAUCUUGUUUUUUUUUUUAAAUUCUAAACCCUUUUUUGUGUAAUGUUGCAGCAGAAGCGAGGGUCUCAGAAAACAUCUCCUGUUCUGAUCUGGCACAGUUCCAAUUAUAUGGAUAACCUUCCAUUUGUAAAGCUCUGAAAUAAGUGUCACAAGGAUACGUAGAUUUAAGAUGCAGGUCCAUCUAGAAGAAGUACAAUCUGGUUGAAGGAUGGUGGGGCAAUACAACAAGUACAUAACUCACUUUGUUGCAAGGCAUAAUUGGUAAAUCCUCAUCUACUGGGACUACAGAAGUUUGACAACCCCUGUCUCUCGUGUCUUAUGGCCACCAAUGACUGCAGUCUUUCAUUGUGAAUUUGGGUUUCGUCUCAGAAAUCUUCUCAACAUGAUGCUCUGUCAAGCCAACAAUGUUUGAGCAGUCAGCCAUUUGUUUAAUAUCUCUGGAUUAUUGCAUUGGUAAUUCUUGCUGAAAACACUCAAGUCACCUGGGAGAACUGAUCUGUUUAUUAAUAGCUUUUAGGAUUUCAACAUUUCAUAUUUAAACAGAGAAAUCUAACAUUACUUGACAGAAAACAGGAGUGGUCAUAGGAAUGAAAAAUUCACAUAUCUUUGGGAACCAAGUUAUUAUUAUCAAUGAGUGUCAUGGACUGGAUAAGAAAACAAGGACUGGUUGGACCAGAAUUAUAGCAGGAUACAGACACAAAGGCAUUUAAAUUUUAAAAUUCUAAGAAUGAAAUAUAACUAUAGUAAAUACAUCUUUGGACUACUUUUGGCUUAUGGAUCAUGGUUUGCAAACCCUUGAUCUGUGACAUAGAUGUUAAAGGUGGGGUAAUGAGGUUGUGUGUGCAGAUCUCCAAACACCAGAGCAUCAUGGGCAGCACUAACCUGCAUGGUGCCCUUAGGAGGGCUGUAAGCCAGAAGCAAGUUCUCCAUUCUGCCCUAGUCAGGCGUGACUAUACCAAGGCUUAUAACUGGAGAUACAAGCCAAGCCAUAUACCUGGCAAUUCAGCAAAGUUCAGAGAAAUAUGGCAUGAAUUCAUACAAAUUAAUCAAGUGCAUAACAUUAAGAAACUGCAAUUUUGAGUUGUGCGUAUGCUUAUAGUGGCCCAUUUCUAAAUUAAAAGGAAGACUAUUUCUGUUU